CACGUAGGGUACGAGCGUUGUCCGGAAUUACUGGGCGUAAAGAGCUCGUAGGUGGUUUGUCGCGUUGUCCGUGAAAACUCACAGCUCAACUGUGGGCGUGCGGGCGAUACGGGCAGACUGGAGUACUGCAGGGGAGACUGGAAUUCCUGGUGUAGCGGUGGAAUGCGCAGAUAUCAGGAGGAACACCGGUGGCGAAGGCGGGUCUCUGGGCAGUAACUGACGCUGAGGAGCGAAAGCGUGGGGAGCGAACAGG
This 253-nucleotide ribosomal RNA is filed under the name uncultured bacterium. Its description in RNAcentral is "partial 16S ribosomal RNA". It matches the Rfam family "Bacterial small subunit ribosomal RNA", at positions 524 to 776 of the family's 1533-position model. The record is from RNAcentral.